This 429-nucleotide ribosomal RNA is filed under the name Pseudomonadota bacterium. RNAcentral's name for it is "Proteobacteria bacterium partial 16S ribosomal RNA". It matches the Rfam family "Bacterial small subunit ribosomal RNA", at positions 355 to 776 of the family's 1533-position model. Lineage: Bacteria; Pseudomonadati; Pseudomonadota. The record is from RNAcentral.
UGGGGAAUAUUGGACAAUGGGCGAAAGCCUGAUCCAGCCAUGCCGCGUGUGUGAAGAAGGUCUUCGGAUUGUAAAGCACUUUAAGUUGGGAGGAAGGGCAGUAAGCGAAUACCUUGCUGUUUUGACGUUACUGACAGAAUAAGCACCGGCUAACUCCGUGCCAGCAGCCGCGGUAAUACAGAGGGUGCAAGCGUUAAUCGGAAUUACUGGGCGUAAAGCGCGCGUAGGUGGUUCGUUAAGUUGAAUGUGAAAGCCCCGGGCUCAACCUGGGAACUGCAUCCAAAACUGGCGAGCUAGAGUAGGGCAGAGGGUGGUGGAAUUUCCUGUGUAGCGGUGAAAUACGUAGAUAUAGGAAGGAACACCAGUGGCGAAGGCGACCACCUGGGCUCAUACUGCCACUGAGGUGCGAAAGCGUGGGGGGCAAACAGG